UGAGGAAUAUUGGUCAAUGGGCGCGAGCCUGAACCAGCCAAGUAGCGUGAAGGAUGACUGCCCUACGGGUUGUAAACUUCUUUUAUAAAGGAAUAAAGUGAGGCACGUGUGCCUUUUUGUAUGUACUUUAUGAAUAAGGAUCGGCUAACUCCGUGCCAGCAGCCGCGGUAAUACGGAGGAUCCGAGCGUUAUCCGGAUUUAUUGGGUUUAAAGGGAGCGUAGAUGGGUUGUUAAGUCAGUUGUGAAAGUUUGCGGCUCAACCGUAAAAUUGCAAUUGAUACCGGCAGUCUUGAGUACAGUUGAGGUAGGCGGAAUUCGUGGUGUAGCGGUGAAAUGCUUAGAUAUCACGAAGAACUCCGAUUGCGAAGGCAGCUUACUAAACUGCCACUGACAUUGAUGCUCGAAAGUGUGGGUAUCAAACAGG
This 424-nucleotide ribosomal RNA is filed under the name uncultured bacterium. RNAcentral describes it as "bacterial SSU rRNA". It matches the Rfam family "Bacterial small subunit ribosomal RNA", at positions 355 to 776 of the family's 1533-position model. The record is from RNAcentral.